GACGAAGGAUGCAAGCGUUAUCCGGAUUCAUUGGGUUUAAAGGGAGCGUAGGCGGUAUUGUAAGUCAGUGGUGAAAUCUCGCGGCUUAACUGCGAAACUGCCAUUGAUACUGCAGGACUUGAGUACAGUUGCCGUUGGCGGAAUAUGACAUGUAGUGGUGAAAUACAUAGAGAUGUCAUAGAACACCGAUUGCGAAGGCAGCUAACGAAACUGUAACUGACGCUGAGGCUCGAAAGUGUGGGGAUCAAACAGG
This 253-nucleotide ribosomal RNA is filed under the name uncultured bacterium. Its description in RNAcentral is "partial 16S ribosomal RNA". It matches the Rfam family "Bacterial small subunit ribosomal RNA", at positions 524 to 776 of the family's 1533-position model. The record is from RNAcentral.